RNAcentral lists this long non-coding RNA (203 nucleotides) under Nicotiana benthamiana. RNAcentral describes it as "long non-coding RNA (NBEN_LNC023661)". Lineage: Eukaryota; Viridiplantae; Streptophyta; Magnoliopsida; Solanales; Solanaceae. The record is from RNAcentral.
UCUUCAAGAUCUAAAGCUUGAUAAAUAGUAGAAUACCAAAAGUUAGGACCUCCUACUUUCAUAGUAGGAUUUAACAUAGCAGCCACACCAAAUAUAGGAUGGAUUGGAAAAAAAUAUUUUUUAAACUUCUUUUUCAUUUCAGUAAUUGCAAUUUCAUAAAUUUCCCCUCCCUCGUUAAAAUCAACGAACAAAUUAGCAAGUGC